This 1407-nucleotide ribosomal RNA is filed under the name uncultured bacterium. RNAcentral describes it as "bacterial SSU rRNA". It matches the Rfam family "Bacterial small subunit ribosomal RNA". The record is from RNAcentral.
GAACGCUGGCUGUGUGCCUAAUACAUGCAUGUCGAACGAAGCACUUGUGCUUAGUGGCAAAUGGGUGAGUAACACGUACUUAAUCUACCCCCAAGUUUGGGAUAACAGUUGGAAACAAUUGCUAAUACCAAAUACGUAUAAGUUUUGCAUAAUUCUUAUAUAAAAGGAGCGUUUGUUUCGCUAGGGGAUGAGAGUGCGCUACAUUAGUUAGUUGGUAGGGUAAGAGCCUACCAAGACUAUGAUGUAUAGCGGGGCUGAGAAGCUGAACCGCCACACUGGGACUGAGAUACGGCCCAGACUCCUACGGGAGGCAGCAGUAGGGAAUAUUCCACAAUGAGCGAAAGCUUGAUGGAGCAACACAGCGUGCAGGAAGACGACCUUAGGGUUGUAAACUGCUGUUAUGAGGGAAGAAAAAUAAAAUUAGGAAAUGAAUUUUACAUGACGGUACCUCAUCAGAAAGCACCGGCAAACUAUGUGCCAGCAGCCGCGGUAAUACAUAGGGUGCAAGCGUUAUCCGGAAUUAUUGGGCGUAAAGUGUCUGUAGGUGGUAUGUUAAGUCUAGUGUUAAAGACUAGGGCCCAACCCUAGCACGCUCUAGAUACUGACAUGCUAGAGUCAUAGAGAGGUUAGCGGAACUCCUAGUGAAGCGGUGAAAUGUGUAGAUAUUAGGAAGAACACCAAUAGCGAAGGCAGCUAACUGGAUAUGUACUGACACUCAGAGACGAAAGCGUGGGUAGCAAACAGGAUUAGAUACCCUGGUAGUCCACGCCGUAAACGAUGAUCAUUAGCCGGUGGGUUUUAUCACUGGCGUAGCUAACGCAUUAAAUGAUCCGCCUGAGUAGUAUGCUCGCAAGAGUGAAACUUAAAGGAAUUGACGGGGACCCGCACAAGCAGUGGAGCAUGUGGUUUAAUUUGAAGAUACGCAAAGAACCUUACCCACUUUUGACAUCUUUUGCAAAGCUAUAGAGAUAUAGUAGAGGUUAACAAAAUGACAGAUGGUGCAUGGUUGUCGUCAGCUCGUGUCGUGAGAUGUUAGGUUAAGUCCUGCAACGAGCGCAACCCCUAUUUUUAGUUGCUAACAUUUAGUUGAGGACUCUAGAAAGACUGCCUGGGUAACCAGGAGGAAGGUGGGGAUGACGUCAAAUCAUCAUGCCUCUUACAAGUGGGGCUACACACGUGCUACAAUGGCUAAUACAAAAAGAUGCAACCUCGUGAGAGCAAGCAAAUCUUAUAAAAUUAGUCUCAGUUCGGAUUGAAGUCUGCAACUCGACUUCAUGAAGUCGGAAUUGCUAGUAAUCGUAGGUCAGCAAUACUACGGUGAAUACGUUCUCGGGUCUUGUACACACCGCCCGUCACACCAUGGGAGCUGGUAAUGCCCGAAGCCGGAUAAAAAACUUCGGAUUUUAC